UACGUAGGGUGCGAGCGUUGUCCGGAAUUAUUGGGCGUAAAGAGCUCGUAGGCGGUUUGUCGCGUCGACUGUGAGAACCUGGGGCUUAACUCUGGGCCUGCAGUCGAUACGGGCAGACUUGAGUUCGGUAGGGGAGACUGGAAUUCCUGGUGUAGCGGUGAAAUGCGCAGAUAUCAGGAGGAACACCGGUGGCGAAGGCGGGUCUCUGGGCCGAUACUGACGCUGAGGUGCGAAAGCGUGGGGAGCAAACAGG
This 253-nucleotide ribosomal RNA is filed under the name uncultured bacterium. RNAcentral describes it as "partial 16S ribosomal RNA". It matches the Rfam family "Bacterial small subunit ribosomal RNA", at positions 524 to 776 of the family's 1533-position model. The record is from RNAcentral.